GUACUCUUCUGCAGCACAUUUACUAAAAUUGGAACAACACAGAGAAGAUUAGCAUGGCCCUUGUGCAAGGAUAACACAAAAAUUUGUGAAGUGGUCCAUAUUUUU
This is a small nuclear RNA of Arvicola amphibius (Eurasian water vole), 105 nucleotides long. Lineage: Eukaryota; Metazoa; Chordata; Mammalia; Rodentia; Cricetidae. The record is from RefSeq and is a predicted model, not a curated record.